AAGUCGUAACAAGGUCUCCGUAGGGUGAGUUCUAAUCAAACCUUUGUUAACCUUGACGAUCAUAACUAACAGUUUUCCAGUGAACCUGCGGAGGGAUCAUUACCGAGUGAGGGCCUCCGGGCUCGACCUCCAACCCUUUGUUAUUACCAUCUCUGUUGCCUUGGGGGGCGACCCGGCCUCCGCGUCGGGGCCCCCCAGUGGACCAUUCCACUCUGCGUCUUUGCGUCUGAGUCUAAAGCAAAUCAAUUAAAA
RNAcentral lists this unclassified non-coding RNA (252 nucleotides) under plant metagenome. RNAcentral's name for it is "partial contains small subunit ribosomal RNA and internal transcribed spacer 1". The record is from RNAcentral.